RNAcentral lists this unclassified non-coding RNA (329 nucleotides) under soil metagenome. RNAcentral describes it as "partial contains 5.8S ribosomal RNA, internal transcribed spacer 2, and large subunit ribosomal RNA". The stretch from base 1 to 120 matches the Rfam family "5.8S ribosomal RNA", at positions 35 to 154 of the family's 154-position model. The record is from RNAcentral.
GAUGAAGAACGCAGCGAAAUGCGAUAAGUAGUGUGAAUUGCAGAAUUCAGUGAAUCAUCGAAUCUUUGAACGCACAUUGCGCCCCUUGGUAUCCCGAGGGGCAUGCCUGUUCGAGCGUCAUUUCACCACUCAAGCCUGGCUUGGUGUUGGGCGACGUCCUCUUUGGGGACGCGCCUCGAAACGCUCGGCGGCGUGGCACCGGCUUUAAGCGUAGCAGAAUCUUUCGCUUUGGAAGUCGGGGCCCCGUCUGCCGGAAGACCUGCUCGCAAGGUUGACCUCGGAUCAGGUGGGGAUACCCGCUGAACUUAAGCAUAUCAAUAAGCGGAGGA